GCAGUCGUGGCCGAGUGGUUAGGGCGAUGGACUAAAAAUCCAUUGGGGUCUCUCCGUCACAGGUUCAAAUCCUGUCGACUGCG
Molecule: transfer RNA, 83 nt
Filed under: Ixodes scapularis (black-legged tick)
Lineage: Eukaryota; Metazoa; Arthropoda; Arachnida; Ixodida; Ixodidae
Rfam family: tRNA
About the family: Transfer RNA (tRNA) molecules are approximately 80 nucleotides in length. Their secondary structure includes four short double-helical elements and three loops (D, anti-codon, and T loops).
Source: Rfam by way of RNAcentral